UCUCUCCUGACAUCUCUCUAUUUUCUUUGUGCUCUCCACUGUAUUACUGCCGACUAUCAUUUGCAAAGUGUUGUUUGGCAUUUGUGUUUUUCUCUAUUGGCUUUGCAUGCUUGGCUAGCUGCGCUUGAACCUCUCAGCAGAAGAGACCUAGGCCUUUUUUAAUAAGGUCCCUCAUGAGAAAUCUUCCUCAUCUGAGCAGGAGCAUGUCUAGAGGGCAGUUAAAGAAGAGAAAUAGAAGAGGUAACAAAUAAAAAGAUGAGGAGAUAUAGACAGAAAGGAGGAGAGACUGAUGAGGGAAGGGGAAGAACGUGAUGCGUGAUUGAGUUUGUGCAUUUUGCCUCUCUGAGAGGUGAGAGCUGCUCUAUCAGGGGACAGGAAAAAGCAUUCAGAGUGUGACAUGUUUGUCACGGUGGGCGACAUUGGCAUCUGUCACGCAACCUUUGGCAACGCUUGCAAUAACGGAGAGUUCCAGAGAGUAUGAGACAAAAAGAGACUUUGAAAAUGAGAGAGAUUUCAGAGGUGUGUUCCAGUCGUAGUGCUCGAGCUCAAGGGCUGCAGUGUUCACAGCAGCCUGUCCUGUCUGGAUAAAUCCACGCGUAAAGGCCUGAAGUUUGAAAAUUAAUAAACAUAAGAGUAAAAAGAGAUUUCCUUGUUUUUGCAUGAGCAAUUCUAUGGUAUUCACAUUUGGCACUUUGUGUUCUUGAAUAGGACAAAAGAAUCAAAAUGAUCUUCCAAAUUCAUGGAGAGGGGGAGGAGGGCUCCCAUCAGGAGGGAGGCAUGGAGCGCUGGUCAGUAUAUCAGGGAGUUUUAAUUAACAGCUCAGUGAUGAGGAUUGAAACAGCCCUCAUGCCGUUUACCACUCUACGGGACCGGAUCAAACCAAACUGCACCGCAGAGUGGGGGGGAUUGCUCAACUCAGCCAUCUAUAAAAGACUGGCACUGAAAUCAGCUGCAUUUGCAUACGAGGGUGGUGUAUGAAGCUGUGUUUGCCUGCGGCAGAUCCCCCUGGCAGUCUCUGAGAGCUGCCAUCUUCUUCUGCCAGCCCUCCAUUAGGCCUGUAAGGUGUGUCAGUCAGCGCUCGUACACAGGGGCUUAUGGGAGGACUGCGGGGAAGUGAGGAGUGAACGGAUGAAGAAAAUACGUGAUGAAAGAGUGAUUCUUGUCCAAGUGCAGUCAGUUUGAACCGGCUACUCUUCCUUCAAGUCCUUCAUGAAGUCUUUGCAAUAAUCCAUCACAAAAGGACUAUCACGGCCUUCUGGAUAUGUCUCAGUCUUCACUGAGGGACUGGAAGUAGCAUGAAAGGAGAAGCUGUCGUGCAGUUCUUGAUGGCUGUACACUAAUUGCUGACCCUAACAGGUCCAAUUAGAAGCUACACGCGCCCCGCGCGGGCCCAGGGGACUACACAUCCCGGCAUGCCGAGCACUGACAUUCUCGGAGUGACAUGAACAAGACAGCAACCAGACGUUCCCUCUUUCUUCUUUUUCUUACCAUGCUUUUCUCCAUCGUAAGUCUCAGGCUAAUUUGUUAGGGCUGAGAGGCACAUCCAAGUGACUUUUUAUGGGCCACAGAUACAGAUGCAUUUGCAGUUGGAGUUUUUGGCACUUAAAUAUAGACAGAGAUUAUGAAAUUAGAUAGUAUUAAUAGUUUUCAAAAGCACAUGAACUUAAAAGUAAAAAUAUGAUAUAGGGGUAUGUCUAAGGCCUGGGACACACUACGAUCUCUGGAACUAUAUAGUUUGUCUUUGUACCUUUAAAAAUAAUAAUAAAAUGUAAUUAAUAUAGUAUAGUAUAAUAUAAUAUAUAACAUAAUAAAUAUAAUAAGAUUAUAUUACCGAGAACAAGCGGUUUGAAGUAUAUAUGUCUGGAUUAUCUGGUACUAUUUAUGAUUUUCCGUCUAUUGUCCAAACAAAAUUGUCGGAGCCUCCCCGAUC
This is a long non-coding RNA of Rhinichthys klamathensis goyatoka, 1930 nucleotides long. RefSeq lists it as uncharacterized. NCBI's taxonomy places the organism in Eukaryota, Metazoa, Chordata, Actinopteri, Cypriniformes, Leuciscidae. The record is from RefSeq and is a predicted model, not a curated record. The transcript is spliced from 5 exons.